Molecule: small RNA, 749 nt
Filed under: Pan troglodytes (chimpanzee)
Lineage: Eukaryota; Metazoa; Chordata; Mammalia; Primates; Hominidae
Description: processed transcript
Source: RNAcentral
GCUCCCACCGCCCCAGCUGGUGGUGGUCUCGACACCACGCUCGUUGCGGGGUCACACGCCAGAGCUGGAAAGGGGAGGUCCAGCCCCAAGUAAAGCGACAAAAGCUUUCAUUGUUGAGGUUCCUCAGUGCUGAACUAACAAGAGGGUACUUCCUUGAACAUAAUGAGGCCAAGUAUACAGAAAGAAGAGAAAGAGUAUACACUUGUUUGCGAAUACCAAGAGAAUUGGAAAAGCUGAUGGUUUUUGGAAUCUUUCUGUGCCUGGAUGCGUUUUUGUAUGUGUUCACCCUGCUUCCUUUAAGAGUUUUCCUGGCACUAUUCAGGCUCCUCACUUUGCCUUGCUAUGGCUUAAGGGACAGACGUUUGCUUCAGCCUGCCCAGGUGUGUGACAUUUUGAAGGGUGUCAUUUUGGUAAUCUGCUAUUUUAUGAUGCACUAUGUUGACUACUCCAUGAUGUACCACCUGAUAAGGGGGCAGUCCGUCAUCAAGCUCUACAUCAUCUACAACAUGCUGGAGGUAGCUGAUCGUCUGUUUUCAUCUUUUGGACAAGACAUAUUAGAUGCCCUCUAUUGGACAGCAACAGAGCCUAAAGAAAGAAAAAGAGCCCACAUUGGGGUGAUUCCUCACUUUUUCAUGGCUGUUCUCUAUGUCUUUUUGCAUGCAAUUCUUAUAAUGGUUCAAGCAACAACUCUCAAUGUAGCUUUUAACUCACACAACAAGUCUUUGCUUACUAUCAUGAUGUCUAAUAAU